GGCACCGGUUGGCUAUCCGAUCGGUAUGCUUGUUUCAGUGUCUACCAAAACAAUGCUCUAGACCUUAAUGCGAAGGAUGCCCUUCCUUUGUUAAGUCAGAAGCACACUGAUUCUGCACGCAGGACGCAAGUCUUGCACUCAAUGCAGCAGUCACACCUAGUGUGAACUCAUUGAGAGCUGAGUCAAGGCGAAAGCCAGGUGCUUUGCAUGAAGACCUUUCCUGUAUCUGAAAUCAAGCAAGACUAC
This 246-nucleotide unclassified non-coding RNA is filed under the name Diophryopsis hystrix. RNAcentral describes it as "partial misc_RNA". The record is from RNAcentral. Lineage: Eukaryota; Ciliophora; Spirotrichea; Euplotida; Uronychiidae.